RNAcentral lists this ribosomal RNA (536 nucleotides) under Colletotrichum destructivum. Its description in RNAcentral is "eukaryotic LSU rRNA". It matches the Rfam family "Eukaryotic large subunit ribosomal RNA", at positions 107 to 664 of the family's 3401-position model. The record is from RNAcentral. Lineage: Eukaryota; Fungi; Ascomycota; Sordariomycetes; Glomerellales; Glomerellaceae.
GCUCAAAUUUGAAAUCUGGCCCCAGGCCCGAGUUGUAAUUUGCAGAGGAUGCUUUUGGCGCGGUGCCUUCCGAGUUCCCUGGAACGGGACGCCAUAGAGGGUGAGAGCCCCGUACGGUUGGACACCAAGCCUUUGUAAAGCUCCUUCGACGAGUCGAGUAGUUUGGGAAUGCUGCUCAAAAUGGGAGGUAUAUUUCUUCUAAAGCUAAAUAUAGGCCAGAGACCGAUAGCGCACAAGUAGAGUGAUCGAAAGAUGAAAAGCACUUUGAAAAGAGGGUUAAACAGCACGUGAAAUUGUUAAAAGGGAAGCGCUUGUGACCAGACUUGCGUCCGGUGAAUCACCCAGCUCUCGCGGCUGGGGCACUUCGCCGGCACAGGCCAGCAUCAGCUUGCCGUCGGGGACAAAAGCUUCAGGAACGUAGCUCUCUUCGGGGAGUGUUAUAGCCUGUUGCAUAAUACCCUUCGGCGGGCUGAGGUACGCGCUCCGCAAGGAUGCUGGCGUAAUGGUCAUCAGCGACCCGUCUUGAACCGGANNCA